Molecule: long non-coding RNA, 702 nt
Organism: Homo sapiens (human)
Lineage: Eukaryota; Metazoa; Chordata; Mammalia; Primates; Hominidae
Gene: C3P1
Product: complement component 3 precursor pseudogene
Source: Ensembl
GGAGGGGCAGGAGGGAGCCUGGACUUUGGAGGAUGGGGAAGGCAGGCCAGGGCCCGGAGUGGGUGAAGACUUCUCAGGACUAGGCCAGGACAGUGCCCAUCCCUGCAGAAGCCCAGUGGCCAAUUGAGGCAGGAGGAGCUCCAGACAACAGCAUGUGAGGCAGGCGUGGAUUUUGGUGAGUGUGGGGAGCCACAGGGGACAGGCAGAGCCCACCUGCAGGCCGAAUGCCAACAUGACACCCUCCCCUUCCCCAGUGUACAAGACAAAGCUGGAAUCUGUGGAGGUCUCUGCCUCCAACCCUUACGUCUAUUACAACACGCAGCUCGAAGACAUCAUUAAGAGUGGUACGGACCCUGCCACACCCCUGGCCAUGAAGAAAUUCGUCUCCCAUGCCACUUGCCAUGACUCCCUGGGGUUGCAAGAACAGGAAUCGUACCUCAUCAUGGGCCAGACGUCAGACCUGUGGAGAAUCAAAUCUGAUUACAGCUAUGUUCUGGGCAAGGAGACGUUCCUCAUCCUUUGGCCAGCAGAUGGAGAUGCCAGCAAGAAAGAAUUGCGGGACCAACUGGAGGAAUUUUUGGAAUAUAUGCGCACCCACGGCUGCCAGUCCUGAGCCUCUUCUGCUUUCAGGGAGGUGUCAUCAGGCAGCUCUGGGCCACUGGGUUUAACCCCAAAUAAAGAGCACAGGAUAUGACACCCAAA